This 253-nucleotide ribosomal RNA is filed under the name uncultured bacterium. Its description in RNAcentral is "partial 16S ribosomal RNA". It matches the Rfam family "Bacterial small subunit ribosomal RNA", at positions 524 to 776 of the family's 1533-position model. The record is from RNAcentral.
GACAGAGGUGCCGAGCGUUAGGCGGAAUCACUGGGCUUAAAGCGUGUGUAGGCGGAUCGUUAAGUACCUUGUGAAAUCCCACGGCUUAACCGUGGAACUGCUUGGUAUACUGGCGAUCUUGAGCCACCUAGGGGCAACCGGAACAAAUGGUGGAGCGGUGGAAUGCGCAGAUAUCAGGAGGAACACCAACGGCGAAGGCAGCCCGCUGGGACGGUACUGACGCUAAGGCGCGAAAGCGUGGGGAGCGAACAGG